Molecule: non-coding RNA, 729 nt
Organism: Macaca mulatta (Rhesus monkey)
Lineage: Eukaryota; Metazoa; Chordata; Mammalia; Primates; Cercopithecidae
Source: RefSeq, a predicted model, not a curated record
CAUCAAUCCAGGAAUUUAGGGCUCAUGGGUGCCAUCUUGGAGACAAGCUAGCACACCUGUAAUGCUAGAAGCUGAACCCAGGAGCACCAGCAGAGGCUGUAGAUUCUGGUGAUGUCUCAAACACUCUUCCUGUGAUCUUGAUACAGUAACAAAAUUUCUGGGUACCCUGAAAAUGGAAAGAAUAAGUUUCAACCAGAAACUUCUAACAGAGUUUGACACGGACAUUUGCCCCAGUGUGUCAUGCUCAGAGGAAUGACUCAUAGGUCCUAAUGAGAGAGCACACUUUGGAAAAGGAUGACUGACUUUUAGAAGGAAGACCCAAACAAACCGGUCAACAGAAAUGGAGUGCUGCUCUAGUGCCAUGCCCGAGACACCUGCCAAUAGUCCUCUGCCACUCGCCAUCCCUGCAUCAGCAUCUGGGACAUGGUCAUUACACUUGACGGCUUGUCACUCCACCUCUCCUCACUCCUCAGCUCACAGAAAAGAGAUUUGUGAAAUACCAGCUCUGGUCUUGGUAAAUAUUUGUUUCCCCUGGCACCCUGGAAAAGGCAUUUUUAAAACUCUUCCUACACUUUCGGUGUGGCAGCAGCUUUAUCAGUAUGUGAAGACAGAGCGAUGAUGUGGCUUGGAUACUUGACAUUUUGUAUUGUUGCAAAGUGGCAAAUUGCACUGAGCUGUAAAUACACUAUAAAUGGUGUUGUGCUGAAUUAUAAAGACAAUUAGCAUAUU